GUAGUCCACGCCCUAAACGAUGUCUACUAGUUGUCGGGUUUUAAUUAACUUGGUAACGCAGCUAACGCGUGAAGUAGACCGCCUGGGGAGUACGGUCGCAAGAUUAAAACUCAAAGGAAUUGACGGGGACCCGCACAAGCGGUGGAUGAUGUGGAUUAAUUCGAUGCAACGCGAAAAACCUUACCUACCCUUGACAUGUCAGGAAGUCCGGAGAGAUCUGGAUGUGCCCGAAAGGGAACCUGAACACAGGUGCUGCAUGGCUGUCGUCAGCUCGUGUCGUGAGAUGUUGGGUUAAGUCCCGCAACGAGCGCAACCCUUGUCAUUAGUUGCUACGCAAGAGCACUCUAAUGAGACUGCCGGUGACAAACCGGAG
RNAcentral lists this ribosomal RNA (373 nucleotides) under uncultured bacterium. RNAcentral describes it as "bacterial SSU rRNA". It matches the Rfam family "Bacterial small subunit ribosomal RNA", at positions 790 to 1168 of the family's 1533-position model. The record is from RNAcentral.